RNAcentral lists this ribosomal RNA (375 nucleotides) under uncultured soil bacterium. RNAcentral describes it as "bacterial SSU rRNA". It matches the Rfam family "Bacterial small subunit ribosomal RNA", at positions 26 to 403 of the family's 1533-position model. The record is from RNAcentral.
AGAUUGAACGCUAGCGGGAUGCUUUACACAUGCAAGUCGAACGGCAGCGCGGACUUCGGUCUGGCGGCGAGUGGCGAACGGGUGAGUAAUAUAUCGGAACGUGCCCAGUAGCGGGGGAUAACUACGCGAAAGCGUGGCUAAUACCGCAUACGCCCUACGGGGGAAAGGGGGGAUUCUUCGGAACCUCUCACUAUUGGAGCGGCCGAUAUCAGAUUAGCUAGUUGGUGAGGUAAAGGCUCACCAAGGCGACGAUCUGUAGCUGGUUUGAGAGGACGACCAGCCACACUGGGACUGAGACACGGCCCAGACUCCUACGGGAGCAGCAGUGGGGAAUUUGGACAAUGGGCGAAAGCCUGAUCCAGCCAUCGCCGCGUG